CAUGGUCUGCCUGACUCUCCUGGCUGGAGGGCCCGAAGAAGAAGUGGCCUGGGAGCCAAGGCCAGUGGCAUGGUCCAUUCCUCCCAUCAGCCCUCGGAGGGCAUUGGCCCUGGAGACACCCAGGGAGAACCAAAGGAGAUGUCCCACAAGAGACUGCCAGCCCAGCCGCAGGAUGGAGAGGUGCUAGUGCUGGAGAGGCCUCUGCUGGGUGAGGGGAGACAGGAAUCGAUACCAUAGCAUCAGAGUGUGUGGAUGGGGCGCCGGGAAACAGAGACAUGGCUGCUUCCAGGAGCCUCCUCCAAGUUCUCCAAGGCACUCACGCUGUUCCUUGCAGUCUGGUGACUCCACAGGACACCCCGUUUGUGGCCCCACGGUGCUGCACCAUCAGCCCACGUCUGGGGAUCCAGCCCGACACCACUGGGAAGUAUUUUUGGUAGAUUUGAUCAGGGCCCUGGUCACCCUCCAAGGGAGCCUAGUUUCCUGCUGCCUGCUGGCCAUAGCUGUGACCACGUCAUCCACACCCUCCCUGGCCUCUGGGGGCCUCCGCAGGACCAGAGGGGUGGAUUGGGCUUGCUCUGCCCUUGGAGUAUUGGAGCAGGGCCUCUGGGCUCAGCCUCUGGGUCUUUGCUUCACUCUGCUGAGCCCCCAAUUGUCUCAUCUAUGAAAUGGGGGUGCUGUAUAGAGCAGGAUUCUCCAAGUCAGUUCCCUCAACCAGCAGCAGCAGCAGCAGCAGCAGCAGCAGCAGCAGCAGCAGCAGCAGCAGCAGCAGCAGCAGCAGCAGCGACCCCUUGAAGCUCAUUAGAGACGCACACUUGGAAAUCAGAAACCAGGGCUGGGGUGAUUCUGGUACGGGCUCCGGUUUGAGCAGCACUGAUACUCCCUCCCCUCCUGUUCCCAGGGCAGACAUUGCUAAUCCAUCGCCACACCAUCAUUGAGCCCUGAGGGCUGGGCUGACAGACCAGGUCUGUAACUCAGCCUGCACAUGAGGCUGAGUUCAAGGAUGCAAGGUGGCUGCCCGCUCCCAGCUCACCUGAGCGUCCCCCAUCCACUGUGCUCAGCCCAGCUGGGGGGUGGGGGAGGGGUGAGGUCCACUCAGUCCACUUGUCC
This is a long non-coding RNA of Fukomys damarensis (Damara mole-rat), 1107 nucleotides long. RefSeq lists it as uncharacterized. The transcript is spliced from 4 exons. NCBI's taxonomy places the organism in Eukaryota, Metazoa, Chordata, Mammalia, Rodentia, Bathyergidae. The record is from RefSeq and is a predicted model, not a curated record.